RNAcentral lists this ribosomal RNA (253 nucleotides) under uncultured bacterium. RNAcentral describes it as "partial 16S ribosomal RNA". It matches the Rfam family "Bacterial small subunit ribosomal RNA", at positions 524 to 776 of the family's 1533-position model. The record is from RNAcentral.
UACGUAGGGAGCGAGCGUUAUCCGGAAUUAUUGGGUGUAAAGGGUGCGUAGACGGGAAUGCAAGUUAGUUGUGAAAUCCCUCGGCUUAACUGAGGAACUGCAACUAAAACUACAUUUCUUGAGUGCAGGAGAGGUAAGUGGAAUUCCUAGUGUAGCGGUGAAAUGCGUAGAUAUUAGGAGGAACACCAGUGGCGAAGGCGACUUACUGGACUGUAACUGACGUUGAGGCACGAAAGCGUGGGUAGCAAACAGG